RNAcentral lists this ribosomal RNA (531 nucleotides) under Clostridium botulinum D/C. RNAcentral describes it as "partial 23S ribosomal RNA". It matches the Rfam family "Bacterial large subunit ribosomal RNA", at positions 2056 to 2585 of the family's 2925-position model. Lineage: Bacteria; Bacillati; Bacillota; Clostridia; Eubacteriales; Clostridiaceae. The record is from RNAcentral.
AAGAUGCUUGCUACCCGCGGUUGGACGGAAAGACCCCGUAGAGCUUUACUGUAGCUUAGCAUUGAAUUUCGGUAUUGUCUGUACAGGAUAGGUGGGAGACUUAGAAGCGAGGGCGUCAGCUUUCGUGGAGUCGUCCUUGGGAUACCACCCUGACAGUACUGGAAUUCUAACUGGAGGCCAUGAAUCUGGUCACAGGACAUUGCUAGGUGGGCAGUUUGACUGGGGCGGUCGCCUCCUAAAAGGUAACGGAGGCGCCCAAAGGUUCCCUCAGCGCGGUCGGAAAUCGCGCGUAGAGUGCAAAGGCAGAAGGGAGCCUGACUGCGACACAUACAGGUGGAGCAGGGACGAAAGUCGGGCUUAGUGAUCCGGUGGUUCUGUAUGGAAGGGCCAUCGCUCAACGGAUAAAAGCUACCUCGGGGAUAACAGGCUGAGCUCCCCCAAGAGUCCACAUCGACGGGGAGGUUUGGCACCUCGAUGUCGGCUCGUCGCAUCCUGGGGCUGUAGUCGGUCCCAAGGGUUGGGCUGUUCGCC